AGACGUCUACAUUAGAUACCCGGGUAGUCCCAGCCGUAAACUAUGCGCGUUAGGUGUAUCGGUGACCACGAGUCACCGAGGUGCCGAAGGGAAACCGUGAAACGUGCCGCCUGGGAAGUACGGUCGCAAGGCUGAAACUUAAAGGAAUUGGCGGGAGCACCACAACGGGUGGAGCCUGCGGUUUAAUUGGACUCAACGCCGGGAAGCUCACCGGAUAAGACAGCGGAAUGAUUGCCGGGCUGAAGACUCUGCAUGACUAGCUG
This 263-nucleotide ribosomal RNA is filed under the name uncultured archaeon. RNAcentral's name for it is "partial 16S ribosomal RNA". It matches the Rfam family "Archaeal small subunit ribosomal RNA", at positions 717 to 982 of the family's 1478-position model. The record is from RNAcentral.